GGGGCUGCUUGGUUUCUACGUAUAAUUAAUAGCUGUAAGUUUUAGGAGAUAGCUUUAAGCUAAGAUUAUUGAUUUUAGUUUUAAUAUAAAUCCAAAACACCAAAUUAUCCCUUUCUCUUUAAAUCAAGUUUUUGCAUAAAUAGCACAAAAACAAGAAUAAAACUUUUAUUGAGUCUCAUCUAAAAAAUCUUCAUUUUUAGUUGAUUAAUAUAUUGAAGAUGCUCUUGAAUUUUAUAAUUUAAGCAAAGUUAUUCGAUUGAAUUAAAUAACAUUAAUAUCUCUUUUUAUAAUCAUUUUGUAAUAUUUUGACAAAUGUUUGUAUAGGCUUAUAAAGUUGAUUCAUACGGACGUGGGUUCGAAUCCCACCAGCUCCA
RNAcentral lists this non-coding RNA (374 nucleotides) under Calliarthron tuberculosum. The record is from RNAcentral. Lineage: Eukaryota; Rhodophyta; Florideophyceae; Corallinales; Corallinaceae.